UUCAAAAGAAAAGGAGUUACAACAGUUCGGCAGACGGGAAUUAGAAGAUACUUAGUCUACCAUCACAAUAUAUUCGACGAUAAGAGUAUAUCUGAAUUGCAUUACACUCCUAUAAAAAAAAAAUAUGGCAAACCGGGAUGAAUCUUCACCUAACGAAAAAUGCUGUUGUCGAAAAUGCUGUCAAAAAUGUUGUUCAACUUGCACUAUAUUAAGAACAGACACACUGUAUGUAGAACCAAUUUCCAGGCUCCGACCAUCCGAUGGAACCCUGUCAGAGAAGUGCACAUUAAUAGCUUUUGAUGAGUCCGGCUCUCCUACACAAAAUUAUCUGACCAGCUAGAAUUCCUUCUAUGCUUCUCUGUGGUUUUACUGCUGUUCUUAUCGAAACAGAAAACAACACUUCAGAGAAGAAAUGCAUAUAUAGAGCGAUCAUGUUUAUAUACUUCUGUUCUAUAGUAAAAUCCAUAUAUUAUGUUCUGUUUUACCCUGUUUUCUGAUUUUUAUCAAUAUACUGUUUGUUUAUAGGCAAUCUCAUGCAGUCAACAUACUGUGGGAAGUCCCUUAUCUUAUUUCUCAUUACAAACUGUUUUGAAGGUUUUAAUAAUAUUAAAAUAAUGAUAAUUAUCAUUUGAUGAUAAUAUUAUUUGAACUCCUAACCAAUGUCUUAUAUAUUCCCUAAUAUUUGUGAAUACUGAUAUUAUUCAUGGUUCUGUGCAUUGGUCAGAAAUUGUAUUUACUGAAGACUUAGCAAUAGGAAGAAAUAGUCUAUUCUUUACUAUGGUCUAAGAGCCUCUGAAGACCUUGUAUUAUUAUCUAAGCAAAGGUGGUAACUUGGCCUUUGUUUAACAAAAAAAAAUUGUUCAUCAGCAACACAUGUUGUCUCCUACAUUAAAUUUACCUUUUCUGGUUGGUCAGAAUUUAUAUUUUGUUUUAACUUUUGAGUUUUGGUAUUGUCCCCAUCAUGAAUUAUAUUCAUACUUGACAAUUUUCGAAUAAAGAACGAAACGUAAAAUCAA
Anneissia japonica is the source of this 1016-nucleotide long non-coding RNA. RefSeq lists it as uncharacterized. Lineage: Eukaryota; Metazoa; Echinodermata; Crinoidea; Comatulida; Comatulidae. The record is from RefSeq and is a predicted model, not a curated record. The transcript has 2 exons.